UUGGGAUCGAUAGCGGAAGUAAGCGAGGAAGGAUUAUUCUGACAUAAUAUGCUUCGUUAGUGACAAAUUAUUUAUAUAAUGUAUAUAUAAAAACAUAGCCUAUAGGCUACUAAAUGUUAAACCAUUAUCAUUGGAUGUUAUGCAAAUAGCUUACACAUGACAGUAAGGUGUUAGGCAAAUGCUUAUAAGCAUUCAGGUUGUCAGUUUUGAUGCAACUGUUUCAACUCAGCUCUGUGAGGCUCCCAUGUCAUCAUCAUUUGGUCCGAAAAUGGCUGCCUAGAAGCAGCUGCAGUAGAUGGAAACUGGAACCGUGCCACAAUAACUGUCCAGGUUAUGGUCUGCACCUGUCUGCAUCAUCGACCGAGUCUGGAUGAGGGGAUCCCUCACUGAAUCGCUCCUAACAAGGUCUGCUCAGCUCUGAAAGUAGGAAAAACUAAGGCUAUUUUGGGGCUUUGUUUGACCCACUGAAACCAUGAUGAUUUCCUGUCUCUGGUGGAGGUGGUUAUUAAUGUCACUAGAGGCUUACGGAUUGGCCACACUCGAGGCUCUACCACAGACGACUCUGAGAAGUAAACAGUGCAUUUUGUACUUAUGAAACAACAAUUCUUUGCCAGUUAGAUUAUUUUCAUGCUACCACGGCUUGGAAACUGGGUCAGGACUUUCAUGUGUCUGGUUAAUUACCAGACAGAAUGGCCUUACACAUGUGGAUUAUGUGUAAUCACUGCCCUGGUCAAGACACACAACAAAUUAUAUAAAACGGUGACUAGGACAUAGAGCAACAUCGUUACCACUUGGUUUGAUUUGACAGGAUUUUAUUCUAUUAUAACUCAACCUAAUUCUAAUCCUAUGCAUGUGUCACACGUCAAGGUCAUGUCAUGAAUUUAUUACGAUGAGAUUGAGGAUGAGGGUAGGUCUGGCUGAGGAUGACUAUGGUCACCUUCCAUUCCUCUGAUUGGCUUCUUCUCAGUCGCCCGCAAUAAAUGACUUUCAAAAUUA
Hypomesus transpacificus is the source of this 996-nucleotide long non-coding RNA. RefSeq lists it as uncharacterized. The transcript has 5 exons. The record is from RefSeq and is a predicted model, not a curated record. Lineage: Eukaryota; Metazoa; Chordata; Actinopteri; Osmeriformes; Osmeridae.